This is a long non-coding RNA of Brassica oleracea var. oleracea, 1100 nucleotides long. RefSeq lists it as uncharacterized. Lineage: Eukaryota; Viridiplantae; Streptophyta; Magnoliopsida; Brassicales; Brassicaceae. The record is from RefSeq and is a predicted model, not a curated record. The transcript is spliced from 3 exons.
GUAACACUUUUAGUUUUCAUUUAUUUUCUCCUUUAAUCCGAGCAUUUACAAGCUCAGCAUUUUCAUACAUAACCGUCGGAAGCUCUCCAAUAAAUUUGCAUGCUUCCGGCGAUGAACAGGUCCACCUUUACGAAAUCGAGAAGGAAAUUCUCUGCUAAUUACCAACUCCAAGAAUGGCGUAUUCCUUCACUCUGAUUUGAAAGCUGGCCGCUGUUCAAACACAAAUGAGAUCCGUCUUCUGAGGCUAGGAAUGUGAAGAGAGGCGGCGAUCUGAUGGGUGUUGACAUGCUAUGCUACUCACGGGAGAGAAGGUAAUCACUGCCGUAUUUAUGAGAGUGCGAACGUCUCAACAAUUUCAGAGACCGUUUCAGUGAAGGCCCUGUUUUUGAGAGGUUAAGAGCUCCCAUUUUAUGUUGGAGGUUGGGUGGUGGAAAAAACAUGAAGUAAUUUGUAUCUUAAUUGGUUCGGUGAUAUGCAUAAACCAAAAAACAUGAAGCAUUGACACUGACCUCGCAAGAGAAGAACUGUACUCUAGCCUAUGUCUCCUAUAAGAAACAUUCUAUAAUCAACUGAUGAUCCCACUCAAUGGAGGAGCUUGCUAUCUGUGAGGAUAUAGAUCAUAUAGAUCUGCAAGGUCUCAAAGAUAUACUCUGGCUUAUGUGGGUAGUACAUAUUGGAGGCAACGCUUUUCCUCGUAUAAAGAAAGCUGACUGUCUUGUACUUUUAUGUUUUUAGCUUCAUUCAGUUUUAGAUACAAGCUGUGAUGGCACAAUAGUUAUCUUGCCUAUUAAUUUUUCAGGAAGAAUUGGGUGAGUGAUCCAAAAUAAUAUCGAAUCUGUCCUAACUGUGAGAUAUUUCCAAGAUACAAAUUUUGACUGGUAAAGAUUUAUAGGGUUCAUGAACUUUUGAAGUCUCAGGUAUUCAGGAACGUAUAAGCAAAAGGUGAAGUUCAAGACCGUGAAAAUUUGGUGUAUUUAGUAUGAGAUGAAAUUAUAUUUUUUUCCUUUGGACAUAUUCCAAGACACGGUCUGAGUCUAGACAACAAUGAACAAAUUAGCGAGUCAUUCACAAUCAUUGCAUAAUUGUUCAUACCCUGUGUC